GAUGAAGAACGCAGCGAAAUGCGAUAAGUAAUGUGAAUUGCAGAAUUCAGUGAAUCAUCGAAUCUUUGAACGCACCUUGCGCCCUUUGGCCAUUCCGAAGGGCAUGCCUGUUUGAGUAUCAUGAACACCUCAACUCUUUAUGGUUUUCCAUGAUGAGCUUGGACUCUGGGGGUUUUGCUGGCUCACAGUCGGCUCCUCUAAAAUGAAUCAGCUUACCAGUGUUUGGUGGGUAUCAUGGGUGUGAUAACUAUCUACGCUUGUGGUUUUUCCACCAGGUAACCUUCAGCAGUGGAGGUUCGCUGGAGCUCAUAGAUGUCUCUCCUAAGUGAGGACAGCCCUUUGAAUGUUUGAUCUCAAAUCAGGUAGGACUACCCGCUGAACUUAAGCAUAUCAAUAAGCGGAGGA
Molecule: unclassified non-coding RNA, 405 nt
Filed under: soil metagenome
Description: partial contains 5.8S ribosomal RNA, internal transcribed spacer 2, and large subunit ribosomal RNA
Rfam family: 5.8S ribosomal RNA (bases 1-121)
Source: RNAcentral